GUAUACAGCCAUGCUACCCUGAACAAGUCCGAUCCCGUCUGAUCUCGGAAGCUAAGCAAGGUCGGGCCUGGUUAUUACAUGGAUGGGAGACCACCUAGGAAGACCAGGUGCUGUAGGCG
RNAcentral lists this ribosomal RNA (119 nucleotides) under Pteropus alecto (black flying fox). Lineage: Eukaryota; Metazoa; Chordata; Mammalia; Chiroptera; Pteropodidae. The record is from RNAcentral.